CCAUGAAUCUGGUCUUGGGACACUGUCAGGUGGGCAGUUUGACUGGGGCGGUCGCCUCCCAAAAGGUAACGGAGGCGCUCAAAGGUUCUCUCAGUACGGUCGGAAAUCGUACGUAGAGUGUAAAGGCAAAAGAGAGCUUGAUUGCAAGACAUACAGGUCGAGCAAGGAUGAAAAUCGGACUUAGUGAUCCGGUGGUUCUGCGUGGAAGGGCCAUCGCUCAACGGAUAAAAGCUACCCUGGGGAUAACAGGCUUAUCUCCCCCAAGAGUCCACAUCGACGGGGAGGUUUGGCACCUCGAUGUCGGCUCAUCACAUCCUGGGGCUGUAGUAGGUCCCAAGGGUUGGGCUGUUCGCCCAUUAAAGUGGUACGCGAGCUGGGUUCAGAACGUCGUGAGACAGUUCGGUCCCUAUCCGUCGCAGGCGUAGGAAAUUUGAGAAGACCUGUCCUUAGUACGAGAGGACCGGGAUGGACG
RNAcentral lists this ribosomal RNA (472 nucleotides) under Clostridioides difficile. Its description in RNAcentral is "partial 23S ribosomal RNA". It matches the Rfam family "Bacterial large subunit ribosomal RNA", at positions 2233 to 2703 of the family's 2925-position model. The record is from RNAcentral. Lineage: Bacteria; Bacillati; Bacillota; Clostridia; Peptostreptococcales; Peptostreptococcaceae.